GAUGAACGCUGGCGGCGUGCCUAAUACAUGCAAGUCGAGCGAACGGACGAGAAGCUUGCUUCUCUGAUGUUAUCGGCGGACGGGUGAGUAACACGUGGAUAACCUACCUAUAAGACUGGGAUAACUUCGGGAAACCGGAGCUAAUACCGGAUAAUAUUUUGAACCGCAUUGUUCAAAAGUGAAAGACGGUCUUGCUGUCACUUAUAGAUUGAUCCGCGCUGCAUUAGCUAGUUGGUAAGGUAACGGCUUACCAAGGCAACGAUGCAUAGCCGACCUGAGAGGGUGAUCGGCAACACUGGAACUGAGACACGGUCAAGACUCCUACGGGAGGCAGCAGUAGGGAAUCUACCGCAAUGGGCGAAAGCCUGAAGGAGCAACGCCGCGUGAGUGAUGAAGGUAUUCGGAUCGUAAAACUCUGUUAUUAGGGAAGAACAUAUGUGUAAGUAACUGUGCACAUCUUGACGGUACCUAAUCAGAAAGCCACGGCUAACUACGUG
RNAcentral lists this ribosomal RNA (497 nucleotides) under uncultured bacterium. RNAcentral describes it as "partial 16S ribosomal RNA". It matches the Rfam family "Bacterial small subunit ribosomal RNA", at positions 28 to 507 of the family's 1533-position model. The record is from RNAcentral.